AGGGUUCGAUUCUGGCUCAGGAUGAACGCUAGCGGCAGGCUUAACACAUGCAAGUCGAGGGGCAGCGGGAUGUAGCAAUACAUUGCCGGCGACCGGCGGAUGGGUGCGUAACGCGUAUGCAACCUACCUUAUACAGGGGAAUAACCUUUCGAAAGGGAGACUAACACCCCAUAGUAUUGAUUUAAGGCAUCUUAGAUUAAUUAAAUAUUUAUAGGUAUAAGAUGGGCAUGCGUAUGAUUAGCUAGUUGGUAAGGUAACGGCUUACCAAGGCGACGAUCAUUAGGGGUUCUGAGAGGAAGGUCCCCCACACUGGUACUGAGACACGGACCAGACUCCUACGGGAGGCAGCAGUGAGGAAUAUUGGUCAAUGGGCGCAAGCCUGAACCAGCCAUGCCGCGUGCAGGAAAGACGGCCUUAUGGGUUGUAAACUGCUUUUACAUAAGACUAACCGUAUAUUUGCGAAUAUACCUGAAUGUAUUAUGAGAAUAAGGAUCGGCUAACUCCGUGCCAGCCGCAGC
RNAcentral lists this ribosomal RNA (518 nucleotides) under uncultured bacterium. RNAcentral's name for it is "bacterial SSU rRNA". It matches the Rfam family "Bacterial small subunit ribosomal RNA", at positions 8 to 518 of the family's 1533-position model. The record is from RNAcentral.